Molecule: long non-coding RNA, 538 nt
Filed under: Scleropages formosus (Asian bonytongue)
Lineage: Eukaryota; Metazoa; Chordata; Actinopteri; Osteoglossiformes; Osteoglossidae
Description: lncRNA (ENSSFOG00015027645.1)
Source: RNAcentral
CAAACAACAUUAAGAGGAUUUAUUUCAUAACUAUUUCAACAGGUGUUUCCUAGAGAAAACCGAAGCAAGAAGUCUCUAAACUGAUACUGGAUCAUCAUGUCCAUCUGGGAGGCUUCAAUCUUUUCUAUGAUCGUCCACUGGUGCUGCAUCCAAGGACUGUUUCACCAAGGACAUGUGCAGUCAACCACUGUGGUGAAGUGCUACUCUCCUCCGACCUGCAAUGGCUUUAACUAUGACUCGCACGUUAACUCCUGCUGCAGUAACCAGAUUUACAAGGGCACUGGGCUGUGCUGCUGUGGAAAAAGUUCCUACAAUGCCAUCCAGGACACUUGCUGUAAUGGCAACCUCACCAGGGGUCUAAGUGAGCUGGUGUCGCUUUGCUGUGGUUCAGUGGCAUAUAACCCCCUGAAUGAGAUAUGCUGCAGAUCUUAUGUUUACCCUCGACAGGCCCAUUCAGGUUGCUGUGGGAAAGGUGGGAGAACAUAUCUGUAUAGCAGGUUGAAGUAAAACAGUGAAAUGGUCCCCCUCCUAAUGGCAC